CAUAAGUGCGUUACAGGACUUCUCUCACACCCACGCACUGGGGUUCAGACUGGGAAAGGGACAGCCGGGUGUACGUGGGUCUCUAACCUGUUCUUGUCUGGCCCCAACUCUCCCUUCCCAGGGCCUCACCUUAACCCCUAUCUGCCUCCGGCACACAGAGGAAGAUGUGCUAUCUAGGAUGAAGUUAAUGUCGGCAUUUAAAUUUAAAAACCAGAACAGAGCAGCAAGGGGAGUUGGAGAGAAGCGGGGCAGUGUGGACGGCAGGAGUCCGAGGGUGGCAGACGCGGCUGACUGAGGCUCCUGCCUGCGUCCUGCUGUCAGAAAGUGCUUGGCAGGAUGGGGCCGGGCCUCGGAGCCCAGCUGUGCCCGAGGACGCCGGCCUGGGACCCGCCACCACGGUCUCUCGUGCGUGGACAGCAGCCCCCACACCCCGUGCUGCAGGUGGAUGGUCAGGCUGCCGCCCAACCUCAGGGUAAGUGACGAGGACAGUCUGAAGUCCUGCCCAGAGCUCUGCAUCCUAGACUAGCACGUAACUCAACAAACGUUUAGGCAUCUAGAGCGGAAGGUCAGGGCGAAGGCCUCUGCUUCCUGCCCUCCAGCGGCACAUCUGAUGGGAAAGACCAAUAAGAACUAGGAAGACAGGCUGUUCCCUGGGGUGGGGCUGGGAUGGGGCCUCCUCCUGCUUCCCUUGCUGCUGGGGGUAUUUUGCUCACGCCCUUGGGUUUUCUGGCCGACAGAAGGGUUCUGGGGUCACUGGACACCCUGGUGUGGGGGAUCCGGCCCAGGAAGCGCCUCCAGUGCACCCUGCAGCCGUGUGGAGGCGUGGUACCCUCCUCAUGCCCAGUGAGAGGAACCCCGGGGUCAGAGCGGCAGGGCCCUGGCAGGGCUACAGCAGGCCUGGAUCUGCUGGACGCUCCCAGUUUGCUUCCGUUUCGUUCUUCUCAACAAAGGCAGCUCAUUAAUGUAAAGUGUUUUUAUAAAUAAUGCAUCUUCCACCGGCCCCAAGUCCUGAGCUGGAAUUUGGGAUGUGGGCGGGCAUCAAACACUUUCACUUGCAGACCACACAGGGACAGGCUUGAUGUCUGAAGCUUCGGGCCACUGCUCACCUUAAACGGCUCAUUAGGGACUUACUCACCAGGAGCCCAGGCCAUGCUGCUCAGAAGGAAGCUGAUGAGUGCUGUGAGCCUGUGCUGCCCAGCCCACCCGGCGCUCCCGCCUGGCCCCCGGGGUGCUGUCUGUGAGUCUGGGCCUUUGCCCGUUUGGUUGGUUGCGGGGGUGACCAGGGCUGACUUAGCUGGUACAAACCUCCCCAAAGGGUAGGCUACUUCACUGUCUAGUGGGGCUACUGGCCUUUGAUGAACAAGUUGAGGGUCGCUGCUCUCGGCACAGGUCUCGAGGUGCCACCUGGCAGUGUGGAGUGGGCAGGGGCCAGGCGCAGUGGCCUGGAAACGACUCCUCUUACCUGCGGGACGAGCGGGUGUGCCCAGGAGGGGCCAGCUGGCUGCAGACCCAGAGCGAGUGCAGCAGCCCCCUGGCAGGGCCACCUCAUCGCAGCAGGUGACGUUUGUUCUGAAACUGAUUCUAACUCAGGCAGAUGAUAAGUCAAGUAGAUGCACUGGUUAGCCCUCCUUCUAUCAGGAACUGCAGUGACUAAGAGGAAGUAGGCAGAAAUCAAUGCAAAGCCAAAUAUUUGAAGGAAGCUGCUGUCAGGGCUUUGAGGGCCUCAGGCUACAGAGGGAGAGACGGGCAGGGCCGGUGCCCAGGUGGCGGGUGAGGCCACUUACCCAGGACUCAGGUGGAAAGUGGGAUCUCAUCCUACACCGCCACACCGCCAAGGGGGAAGAGUACCAGAACUCGGCUUUUGGACGAAUACGGCAAUUUGACACAACAGCAGUUUGGUAGGGUUACAAAAGGGCUGUGUAAUGGAAAUCUAAUAGGAGAGGCCUGGGGGAGACAUUUCGCAGCCACGAUAGACAUGAAUUAUGGAUAAGGAAACGGAGUAAGGUUACAGCAGCUUCCAAGUUUGGCCGAGCACCCUCUCAGGGAACGAGUUAUUGCUGGACUUUAAAACAAUUCCAUUAUCUUAUGGUCCAAGGGACUGGAAAGUUCUCUCUGUGCUUCGCUAAUGGGAGUCGGGUCCCGUAUGGCCCGACCCUGUCACUGAGCUGAACCUGUCCCUCCUCGCUGCAGGGCAAGGAGGCUGCGCUGUGCUGUGAAAGCACAGUGGUUUACACAGGCUGCUGCAGAGUUAAAAAUACAAGUCGCGUUGGCAAGGGUUCUGCAAACACCUGCUUUGCAAGCUGUCGUCCCACAGUGACCUUGGGGAGGCCUUGGGGAACGGAGUGGGAGGGGCCAGGGUUUUAAGCACACUUCCCAGGGCAUUAGGGUUGCCUUUGUAUCUAGGAAUUGUGAGCAUGCCAGCAGGGGUCCCUGAUGGUGCGUGAGCUGGGCCCCAAGGGAAAACUAAUGGCAGCACCCAUGGCUGCCGGGCCCGCUGACCCGCUGGUGACCUCGUGGGCACAGACUAGGUCUGGUCUGCACCCACGUAGUUCAGGGGCAGCAGUAAGGUCUCGGGAUGUGCUGAGCAGCAGUGUGCAGCCACCCCCACCUUAGAGCAGUGAAGGCAGCGUCUGUCCCAGCAGUGGGAGGAAGAGAAGCUGCGGCAGGACAGCUCAGUUCCGGGUGGGGCACCUCCCUAGGGAAAGAGAAGCCCAGGUGCCGGGCCAUCGGAAGCCUGCUGCUGGAAGCCCUCGCUCGACACCGGAGGCUGAAAGCGAGCCGGCGCCACAUGGCACCCGCGGCAGCGCAGCCAGAGGGAGUCUGCCACCGCACAGUGGAGGCGGCCCGUCCAAGUCGCUGCAGGCCCUGCACCGCCGCCAGACCAUAGCAGCCGAGCCCACUGACCUCCUGUGCGUGGCGAAGUUGUCCAGGUCGGCACUGCGCACCACCCGGUCGUAGGGCACGUUGGCCGUGAUGAGGCUGUGGCUGGUGAAGGCGAGGUGGCGGACGGGGUGUCUGGAACACAAGGGGAGAGCACUUUGCUGAAGGUAAGGGGAAAAAUGUCCAGUGCAAGCGGAGACCUGCCAUCAGAGAUGCCCGCCUAGUCAAGAUGAGUCAGCACCACAGUGCUGGGAAGACCCGGCUUCACCAGCACGGCUCACCCGAGGGCACGCAGCUGCUCGGAGAGAGAAUGAGACCUGGAGUGCAGGCCUAGUGAGCUGCACGCAGGGGAGGCACUGCUAGAGCCAGGUGGACCGGAGUUUCCUCACCUGAAAAUGGAGAUCACAGCAGCUGGCUCUCGGGGUUACGGUGAGGACUGUAAGCCCCAGAUGGCAUUGAGCACAACACCUGGUUCAGAGGUUGAACUAGUGUCGUCAUUACUGUUAGAACUAGAGGUGCCGAGCAGCAGCCUUACCUGGAAUGCACCUCCCACAGCUUCUGGUUCAUCCGAUAGUCCCACACGGAGACCAGGCCCUCCUCGCCUCCACUGACAACUUUCCAGUCGUCCAUCUGCACGGCGGAGACGCCAAGCUGGUGUGCAGAGAGCGACAGGGCGAUCUUGUUGGUGCGGAGGUCAUGGAUCCUCACCCUGGAAGGCCCAAGAUGAGCAGAGGUUAGAGUGAAAGCCUGAAAUGACAAACCCUCCUGGGUUGUGCUGGGGUCUAGGCACAACAGCCCUAUGAAGACAGAGACCAUAAAACCCUGUGGUUGCAGAGAUUUAAACAUGCUAGAAAACGUUACCUCCUUGGUACGCCGCCACACAGAGGAGGCCCAGACGCAAGGCAUGAACAAGUGAAGAGCCCACAACAGCUUAGCUGGGAGGAUUUAAGAGCACCCAGAACCCAUCCAGUAGGUGCCUGUCACUCAUUCUAUCUGCUCAACAGGGAGACGCCUGCCCUGGGUGCCCGUCCACAGAGGAAGGUGAACUCCGCCUCCACAUGGGCAUCGGCUGCCCUAAGGAAAAGGACUCAGAGUGAGCAACCUGUAGCUAUUUGGAAAGAAAGUGCUGCAGCACAAUCCCAGAGGACUGUGAGGAGCCAACACACAGACCACGCAGUGACGCACAGAACAAACACUGAGCGUAGCAUAAGAGGACAGCCGGCUUAAGACCGAACGUGUCUGCCGGGCAGUAGAUACACACAGAGCAAACCCACCUAGAAGAGUUCAAACGGGUCACAGAGCAAAAUUCAAUAUAUGCUACACACAUGCCAUGUUUGCAGGUGCAAGGAAGAGGCAGCAAUUUUAACACCAGAAAAGGGAUUUCAGAGCACAGAGAUGAGAUGAGAGUACUUUAGAAUGAUGAAGGGUACAGUUCACUAAAUGUUCAGUAAAACCUGCCUGGAAAAAAACCCAGAAAACCUACAUGGACCUAAUUUUUUAAUUUGGUUUCUUUGGUCAUUAUAAUCUGUUCAGGUUUUCUAUUUAAUUGUUUAAAUCUCCAAAUCUGAAGAUACAGAUGAUGCAUGACUUUCCAAGAAAGACCCCUGGGGGCAGACGGCCCCAACAGAAGUAACAAAGAGUACACUGGGGCAGCUGUCCUGCACAGAGAACCAGAGCACCUGGCCUGCCUGGGAGGAGGCCCCCGGCUGCGGCACUGCCCGCAGGAGCGGAGGAAGCUUCCAGACCUCCAUAGAGCCAGCACGCUCUUCCAAGAAACCGACGAGGAGAGCACGCAGGAAGGCAGCAAUCGAUCGGCACCAAGGCUAAGACCUGAAUGAAAUAUUAACUAACAGAAUCCACCCAGCUCCUGUGAGCACAAUUCACCUACUGUUGUAACAAACAAGAAAAAAACACAUGGUCACUCCCAUGGAUGCUGAAACGAAAUCUGAUGAAAUAUAAUAUUUAUUCCUAAUAAAAAGUCUUUAAAAAAUAGUGACCUAUA
Myotis daubentonii (Daubenton's bat) is the source of this 4882-nucleotide long non-coding RNA. RefSeq lists it as uncharacterized. The record is from RefSeq and is a predicted model, not a curated record. Lineage: Eukaryota; Metazoa; Chordata; Mammalia; Chiroptera; Vespertilionidae. The transcript has 6 exons.